AGCAUAUCAAUAAGCGGAGGAAAAGAAACUAACAAGGAUUCCCCUAGUAACUGCGAGUGAAGCGGGAAAAGCUCAAAUUUAAAAUCUGGCAGUCUUUGGCUGUCCGAGUUGUAGUCUGGAGAAGCGUUUUCCGCGUUGGACCGUGUACAAGUCUCCUGGAACGGAGCGUCAUAGAGGGUGAGAAUCCCGUCUUUGACACGGACUACCAGUGCUUUGUGAUGCGCUCUCAAAGAGUCGAGUUGUUUGGGAAUGCAGCUCAAAAUGGGUGGUAAACUCCAUCUAAAGCUAAAUAUUGGCGAGAGACCGAUAGCGAACAAGUACCGUGAGGGAAAGAUGAAAAGCACUUUGGAAAGAGAGUUAAACAGUACGUGAAAUUGCUGAAAGGGAAACGCUUGAAGUCAGUCGCGUUUGCUAGGACUCAGCCUUGCCUCGGCUUGGUGCAUUUCCUAGUAGACGGGCCAGCAUCACUUUUGGCUGCGGGAAAAAGGUUAGAGGAAUGUGGCACCUUCGGGUGUGUUAUAGCCUCUAGCUGUAUACCGUGGCUGGGAGUGAGGAACUCAGCACGCCUUCAUGGCGGGGCUUCGGCCACCUUCGUGCUUAGGAUGCUGGCGUAAUGGCUUUAAACGACCCGUCUUGAAACACGGACCAAGGAGUCUAACAUGCCUGCGAGUGUUUGGGUGGAAAACCCGAGCGCGUAAUGAAAGUGAAAGUUGGGACCUCUGUCGUGGAGGGCACCGACGCCCGGACCAGACCUUCUGUGACGGAUCCGCGGUAGAGCAUGUAUGUUGGGACCCGAAAGAUGGUGAACUAUGCCUGAAUAGGGUGAAGCCAGAGGAAACUCUGGUGGAGGCUCGUAGCGAUUCUGACGUGCAAAUCGAUCGUCAAAUUUGGGUAUAGGGGCGAAAGACUAAUCGAACCAUCUAGUAGCUGGUUCC
This 935-nucleotide ribosomal RNA is filed under the name Phanerochaete incarnata. Its description in RNAcentral is "LSU rRNA". It matches the Rfam family "Eukaryotic large subunit ribosomal RNA", at positions 37 to 958 of the family's 3401-position model. Lineage: Eukaryota; Fungi; Basidiomycota; Agaricomycetes; Polyporales; Phanerochaetaceae. The record is from RNAcentral.